CGGGGUGCACCAGGCGCGAAAACUUUACAAUGCGGGAAACCGUGAUAAGGGGACACCGAGUGCCAGCAUCAUAUGCUGGCUGUCCAGGUGUGUAAAAUACACCUGUUAGCAAGGGCCGGGCAAGACCGGUGCCAGCCGCCGCGGUAACACCGGCGGCCCGAGUGGUGAUCGUGAUUAUUGGGUCUAAAGGGUCCGUAGCCGGUUUGGUCAGUCCUCCGGGAAAUCUGAUAGCUUAACUAUUAGGCUUUCGGAGGAUACUGCCAGACUUGGAACCGGGAGAGGUAAGAGGUACUACAGGGGUAGGAGUGAAAUCUUGUAAUCCCUGUGGGACCACCUGUGGCGAAGGCGUCUUACCAGAACGGGUUCGACGGUGAGGGACGAAAGCUGGGGGCACGAACCGGAUUAGAUACCCGGGUAGUCCCAGCCGUAAACGAUGCUCGCUAGGUGUCAGGCAUGGCGCGACCGUGUCUGGUGCCGCAGGGAAGCCGUGAAGCGAGCCACCUGGGAAGUACGGCCGCAAGGCUGAAACUUAAAGGAAUUGGCGGGGGAGCACAAGGGCAAU
This 562-nucleotide ribosomal RNA is filed under the name uncultured archaeon. RNAcentral describes it as "bacterial SSU rRNA". It matches the Rfam family "Archaeal small subunit ribosomal RNA", at positions 326 to 888 of the family's 1478-position model. The record is from RNAcentral.